CCUUGCCGGGGCCGGAGCCAACGGAUUGGUUCAAGCUGGGAGAGGGGGUGAUGUCACUGCGGGACCGCGCGCAGACGCAGAGGGGAGGCGGCCGCGGCGGCGCCCUCUAGGGACUGUCUGCGGACCACGUGCCGCACAGAGGAGAUGUAACGGUAGCCACUGGAGGCAGCGGAUAUUUGACUCCAGUCGUGCAGUGGAGCUAUAACCUCCUGGACCCUGGUCAGGAACCUGGAACAAGGAAAUAAAUCACAGCUGUCGUGUCACCCCUGCAGCUGCUGCAUCACCUGAGUGUUCCCCCCUUUCCUCCCAUCCGCUGCCCCCGAAGACUCGGUGUCCUGCUCAAGCACUAUAUCCUCCUGCCCUGUCCGGUUGCUGUACCCGUAUGGCCAGGUCAAGCCACCCACAGGCCGAUUUUACCCUGUUAGCAUCACUUUCAUUCCCAGCUGUCACUCCAGUCUACCAUAAAAUCUGAUGGCAGUUCCCCACCCCACCAAGUUACUUCUAGUUCCUUGCUCCAAAAUGCAGCUUUCUGACUCUCCAGUGGAAGGAAGACCCCUCUACAUAGUCUGUGCAUUGUCUGAACAGCAAAGGCAAGGAAAUGAGUACCAGUCCUUCCACUUGCUCACUGCAUUUCUUAACACAGCUGCCCCAGAGUGCAGGUCACGUGAGACUAGCAUGGUGCAAUAUCCUUGUCACUCUCUUAUACCAUGCUAAGCAGGACAGCAGAUACAUGGGGAGAUUGCACAAGCAGGGUUUGCAGAAUACACGAGCCAAUGGACGCAGCUCUAGCAUCGAACGCAGCACUCAAAAUGUUGUCUGCAAGGAUCUUAAGUUACCCCCGGGGUUAUUAGAAAUGUUUUUUGAGAUCCGCUUGAACGGGAGAUGCGACAAAUGCAAAAUAGUUUUAAUUCUGAAUAUGCUGGUAUUGGUUUGCCAUGCUUUUCAACCAUCCAGCACCUUUAUUCUGUUUCCAUAGAAACCCUAAAAGUUGCCAAGUACUACCCGCAUUUUACUAUAGGGAUAUUUUACCAAGAAGGCCAGUGUCUAAAUGGUGUAAGAACAUAUACAAGGAGCUACAGCAUGAUAGUCAUCUAAUUCUUUUAAUUUGGGCCGCACUUUCUAUGCAUUUCAUCUGGUUAGAGCAGGCCUGGACUGGUGGAAAGUCGCGAGGGAACCAGACCCAAAUGGGCUUGAAUUUUGACACCAAUGUUGCAGCAAAGUUUGGAAACACCCAGAUACUAGCUAUCUUUUUGAGGCUUCUAUGUAUCGCCAAUCACCACGGCACUUCAGCGCCGAUUAAAUGGUUCAAUCAAUGCAAAAAAAGAUGUAAUUGUCAAAUCCGAAGCGGGAAGGCCCGGCAAAGGUCACGCAGAGUCCAGCUGGAGUUUGACAAAGAGGGUCUCAGUUUGCCCAGCACAUAUUUCUGCACCGUCAUUUCAAUCCGAUUCCUGACAAGGAAGUGUCUGAAACAGAUGGUUCGGCAAGGCUCUCCCAAGUGACGAGCAUCUUGUUGGAGCAUGUUUUAAGAGCUUUCUGUGCUCCACUUCUGCCAACUGAAAAAAAAAAUCUCCGAGCUGGAUGACAAGGGCAGCCUGGAAGAACACACCCGAAGGAAUUCGUUCCCCAGGUCGGAGGCUUCAGGCGCGUCAUCUUUCUUGAUGUCUGUAGAUGGAUUCAGAGGGUCACACCCGCCCCCCCAGCUCCUCUCUAAGGCAUCCAAAUGCUCUGUCUACAGAGGAAAGUCUCUGCCACAGCGGCAGCAUUGCUUAUGGUAAUAUCAGCUCAUGCUACCACAAGCUGCCUGCAAGUGGGGGAAAAAAGCUUUGCAUUGUUAUCAUUAGUGCUUUGCAGAGCCAGUCACUGCCUUGUUUUCUAAGGUUUGCACCAAGGAGGCAGAGCGAACUAGCAAUUAGAGCAUGGGACUGAGAGACAGUGGUUUUCACCCUGCCGCUGCAUUGCUAUGUGACCUCAGGCAAGUUACAGUACAGGCUCUUUGUCUGUGGAGAAAGUGGGCUCUCACCUAUCACCAACAUAAUGCGGGGGCUAAUUUAUUAUUGCUUGCAAGGUGCUUUUAGAUCAUGGGGUAAAAGGAGCUUGCAAGCCUGUGUUUCAGUUGUUAUUAUUAAUAGUUGCCUAAAAGUAGGGGGACUAAGCCUUUAGCCCAAGAAGCUCCAAGGUAAUUAAACUAGAGAUCCACCUCGUUCACUAAAUAAAGCAGCUUUCAUAAGUGGAGGUGGGAAUUCACCUUCGCCUUUGCUCAUUUAAAGCUUUUUUUAGAAAGGGGGUUCUGCCUCUUUAAAUUGCAUCUCGUGGGGAGAGGGUAUGAAAUCCCUUAAUCUCUUUUAGCAGCAAUGCUGAUCUAGUUUCCUUCUAGACAUUGCUCACAUCACAUCUGCACUGAAACCCAGAUCCUAGAUGAGAGCUGGGAAUUUCCCAACUGCUUUUACAGCCUGCCUUUUAUCCCCCCAAAUAUCGGACGAGAGAGGCAACAGGGCGCGCUCCAGCUGCUCUCCCCCCGCGCUGUCUCUUGCCGCACCGGCAAGACCGCCGGGGUCUGGAAUAGAGGACAACCUGGAGGCAUACCAGCAGGAAGGCGGCUGUACUGACCCACUUACUCCCACUCAUGGAUUGAUGUGCAUGGUGCGUGGGAAAGCGCCAUAACAUUGCUUUUCUGUCAUGAAGCCUCAGCGAUACCAUAUCGCGGGUAGGGAAGCAGCCACGCAGGGGUGUACCAAGGGCGCUCAGCAAGGAAGAACCCGAGCCAGGAAUAGAGGAUUUGCUUGCUGCCUCCGUACAGAUAGAUGUAUUUAAUGGGAGGGUCACGCACCUCCCCAGGCUCCUCAGUACAUUGAGCAUUUUUAAUUCUGUGCCCCCAACUGAUAAUAUCAUUCAUUGCAAUCUGCCACUGAGGACUUCUACCUGCUUUGCUCUCAGCUCGGGGGUCUUGAAUAAUAUUGCUGCCCCUGCUGCUUUGUUAUUUGUACCUGACCCCCCCAAGAUGUUCCCCAUCUCCACCUUCUCUCAAAGCAUUUAUAAUCCCUCUCCCCUGGUAUACCACAUUCCUGUAGGCAAGUUAGGUCUACCCUUACUUGGUUCAACACCGGUUCAAUCUGUUCCCAUCUUUUCCUUGUUAAGAUACCCCUGACGUUGAGAAGAGUUGCUAAGAGAUGCGUGGGCCAAAGACGGCCAAAUUCAUCUGUGCCACAAGCAGACUCAGCUUCCACCGGGCUCAGAAAGAUCUGCACCCAUUUAUACCCAAAUUGCUCCACUAUGCCAUGAUGUAAAUAAAUAGGACGUGGUUCAAUAAGGACGAGUGCCAAGUGCUAUAUGCCAGGAGGAACAGUCAGUGCCCAAAACCAAAAUGGGGAAUGAAUGGCGAGGCUGCAGUUCUACUAAAAAGGACCUAGGGUUUAUGGUGGAGCGAAAAGGGAAUAUAAGACAGUAAUGUUGGUGCCAAGCAGCUACUAGCAUGCCGGGGUAUGCCAACAUAUGCCAACAUCGCGUGCCAGUCAAGGGGAGUGAGACUUCUGCUUGAUUCAGUUCUGGUGAGUUCUCAUCUGGAGCACCGGGGUCUGGUUUGGGGCACUGCACUGCAAGGAAGAUGGGGACAAAUUGGAAACAGUCCAGAGGCAAACAACAAGCACAAUGUAAAGGUGGAAAAAAAACCAUUGGCAAAUGAGGAACAGCUGGGAUUAUUUAGUCGGGAGAAGAGGAAACUGAAGGGGAUUUGAUCAGAAAAGAGGGUGGCAACUCAGAGGCUGAAUGGACAGGGCUGGUGCCUAAGGGAAGCUGACCCUGCGGGGGCUGAAGCUGCUGGAGUGUGUGUGGAGCAGUGAUUUAGAAGCAGAAAUUUGGCAGCAAAACCAGGAGACUUGCAACAAAAAAAGAUGUGGAUUGGGAAUUAGGAAGAACUUUUUAAGCCUGGGGGCGAUUCAGCCUUGGACCGGAUCCCCUAGAGAGGCAGUGUGGGCCAGUACAGACAGCAACAGCAAGUCUAGAGCCCAGAACUAGAGGCUACCCCAUCCCUGGGGGAGUGGUUUAGACAAGGACGGUACCGCCGUGAGCAGGGGGUGGCCUGGACGGACUCCUCAGACCCUGCCAGCCCUUCCUUGCUGUGAUCCUCUCACUUGGCGUCACACUCAUUUUGCACACCCCGUGAGCAUCAGUCAGUGCAAGUCACACAACCUGGCUUCCUACACCCGCCUUCCAGCCACUUUGCAGCCAUGCGUCGUCAAACCACUUAUCUCCCCUGUGAAUUUGGCCCAGGAAGUUCAUCUUUCUGUGAAGAAAUGAUCCCAGACACCCAUGAAAUGAGAACAAGUUGCGCUGUCUUUGAACCAUGUCCUCAGUAGGAGGCAGGGUAGAGAUGCACCUUACAGACUAACUGAAUCAAGGCACUGCUCUACCGUGAUCUAACCAGCUCUGUGGAGCUCCCAAAUGGAAAAGACGUAUGGACAACCAUCUCCAUCACCCUCAUCUCAACCCACUUGUUUUUACUGGUUAUACCUUGUCUUUCAGACUGUAAGUGCCUUGGAGGAGAAGCUGUCAUUUACCGUAACCUUGUACAGCACCUUGCACAGUGCAGCCCAGACACGAUGGACUCUGAUGGCUACUAUUUGCUGUUCACCAUCAGUGUGCAUAGCAGGACUUUAUUUUUCAAGACCUGUUUUUUCAAAUAUAACGUCCUCGAGGUGGAUGAAGACAGAAUACUUGACAGUAGCUGCAAAAGCAGAUGAAGGCUGCGGCGGAACAGAAACCUCCGGUUGUUUAGGUUUUCCUUGCCAUUCGAUUAAGCUUUCCUUCCCAUAAAAGUAUUUUGUGGUUGCUGAUGUGCAAAGGCAUCCCCACAUUAACAUGAAUGCACAUCCCUUCGAUAGCCAGUCCUGCAGCGACGGACAAGUGGUGAUGGGGUAGCUGCUAGUGAUUCCUGGAAGUCCCUACUCACAGACCUACACGGAGGCUGAGAUGAUACGAUGGUUGCUUUGCACUUGGAACUGAGACAGGAGCGCCGUUCGGUAGCUGCAGUCAUGUCUGAGCAGGCCUACUGACGAUCCACCCCACUCACCCUGUGCGGGGAGGGGACUAGAAAACUAGUCCUAAAGGUAGCCUGUCUCGUUUCACCUGACUGGAAAACCAUGUCCAGUGAGAUCACUCCAUCCACAGCCCAAAUCAAGUAACAGAGCUUGCAACCUGGAGCGUCCGCACACCGAUGGACAGCCCUAACAGCGACCGACCGAAGCAAAGGACAACGCUUCUGGCCAGAGAAUUUGCAUGAUUUGACAUUGAAAUUGCUGCACUUAGUGAGCAGACAUGCAGGAGAGGGGCAGCUCAGAGCACAGUGGUGGUUACACCUUUGUUUGGAAAGCACAGGCCAAAAAAGACAGACACAUCCACAGCACUGGUUUAGCUAUCGAGACCAAGAUGGUCACUCAGAUGCCAGCGUGUCUGGUUGGCAUCAACGAGCAGCUCACGGCCCCUUGUCUUCCACUGACCAACAGACAACACGCAGCAGUCAUCAGUGCAUACGCCCUGGCCCUGGAUACAGGUGACAAAACAAAAUAGUCCGUUCUAAACUUGACCGUGUCUUCUCAUCUGUCCCCAAAAAACGUAAGACAAUUCUUCGUGGUGAUUUCAACGCUCGAGUGGGCAGGGAGUCUGGGCUAUGGAAAGGAACGCUUGGAAAGGAAGGGGUGCGGAGAGUCAGUCCAAAUGCAGUUCUUCUCCUGAGCAAGUGAUUUGAAUACGAUCUCAUCGUCAUCAACUCAUUCGGCCAAAGCUGAAAUAGAAGAUAUCAUGGGUGCACCGCAUUGGAAGCACUGGCACCUGACUGACUAUGUAAUGCAUGCCUGGGACCAUCACAACACCUCUAUCACCAGACCUAUUUCCAGCGCAGGUGACUUCUGGACAGAUCGUCGUUUGGUACGUUUUGUCCUGUCCAUUCUCGUCACCCCAAAACAACGUAAACAAAAGAAGCAGCCAAGGAAGAGGUUCAAGUGCUUGAAAGAUCCUGCUAAAAGUGAUCGUCUGCAGCAGCACCUCAGUGAGAAACUCUCCUACCUCCAUGAUGAUCUUGACACCGGUGAUCACUGGGAGAGCCUCAAGAAAGGCACCCACGAGACACGCAAAGAGUCUCGGCUUCUCCCCAAAGAAACGUCAGGACUGGGUCGAUGAAAAUGCUAGGGAACUUCAGGCUCUCAUUGACAGAAGAAGGAGAGCCUGCAAGGCUUGGCAGAAUGGCAUCAAUGCCAAACAAAAGCAAGACAUUUAUCGCUACAUUAAAACCGAGACCCUGAGGAAAAGCCGAGAGCAAAAGAACAAAUGGUGGGAGGACAAAGCAAAAGAUCCAAAAGUUUGCCGACAGCCAUGACGCGCGUAGUUUCUUCAGCACAACCCAAGCUAUCCACAGGCCAAGUACACAAGGAGCUGGCUCCUUAAGGUCCAAGGAUGGAACAAAAAGUUUAAAGACAACUCCACCGUCAACACAUGGUGGAAGAAACACUUCCAAGAGCCCCUGAACUGAGAUUCUAGCGUUGAAGACACCACCAUCAAAGCCAUUCUGCAACACCCUGCUAAGGACUACCUUGCAGAUCCACCAACUUAUCAAGAGGCUUUGGUAGGCAUUAAGCAGAUGAAGAACAACAAAGCGUGUGGUUCUGAUGGAAAACCAGCUGCAAUUUAUAAGCAAGGUGGAAAACGCUCUCCCACCAAACACACAUCAUUAUUAUGAAAUUUGGGAAACAUGAACAGAUCCCCAAUGACUUGAAAGAUGCCAGAAUUGUUACCAUAUUCAAGAAAGGCGAUAGAUAGGAUCACAGCAGUUCACAGAUCUACAGAAGUUUAGGGCUGGAAGGGACUUUGUGAGAUCAUCUGGUCCAGCCUCCCCUGAUCUGGGCAGGAAAGUGCUGGGGUCAAAUAACCCCAGUAAGGUGUGCGUCCAAUUCUUCUUCUUCUUGUGUAUCUACACCACAUUUGACCAUGUUGUUACACACACUUGUGCAGCGAAGGUGACUCCAAGGUCAACUGUAUUUGUACAGUGGGAUAGUGGGUCCCAGACCACGUAAUGCUGAGCUAGCAGUUGGCCUCAUGGUUUUUCAGAUGGAAAGCACAUACUUGUGUUUUCGCUGGGCUGGCGCGUAGUUCGUUUUCAACAUAGUAUGAGAUCAGGCCAACGAGUGCCUCACUUAGGGAUUUUUCAACAUGGUCGAAGCCAGUUGUGGGCUGCUAUGCGCAGGUCAGCUGCAUAGAUGAAACAUUUCUGUUUCCAAAUCAAUUGGUUGGUCAUUUGUAUAGAUGUUAUAUAGCAAUGGUGCAAGCAUGCUUCCUUGGGGGAGACCAUUCAUUUGUUACCUCCAUCUGCUUUGCUUCCCAUCCAGUUUAGCAAAAACAAGUCGGUUUUCAAGCAGGGUUUUUAUCAGCUCUGUAAGGUGCAGAUCUUUUCCCAUUUCCAGGGGCUUGUGGAGGAGUCGCCGGCAGUUAACCGUAGGCAGUGGUUAGGUCAUUUGGCCUCUUUCAAAGCCAUCCUCAAUAUGUUGAGUUAGAUUGAGCAGCUGGCCCGUUGUUGAUUUUCCAGGAUGAAAGCCGCCUGUUCGGGGAUUAGGUGUUCAUCCAUGUAUAGAGCAAGCCAGUUCAGUAUCAGUCGUUCAUACAGUUUGGAUGUGUGGCACAGCAGAGGGAUAGGUCUGAAGCUCUUGGGGUCAGCUGGAUCUUUCCCUGGCUCCACGGAUGAUCACUGGUGACUUCAAGAGCCACAGCACGCCGUGGGGCGGCACUUCUUCUUUCAUACGGCUGGUGUAGAUACAGAACAGCAGCUAUAGCUUUACAUUUAGGUGGUUGAGCCAGACAGUUGUGCCAGGAGCAGCAGAGUGUAUCGCUGUGAUAACUCCUUCCUAUUUGUGGGUCGGGCAUUGAGUCGUUGCAUGUUCUGGGUGACCGCAGUUGCACACGGGAGAGUUUUUUAUUCUCCAUUUGUGCACCAAGUAUCCGCAUCUCCCACGGUUUGUGCGGAUAUGGGUUAGAGCUGCCCAUGAGCGUCGUGGGAGAUCAAAGCCAGGGGCCUUCUGCAUUGGAUCUAUCACAAGAAAUUUAUCUGGGACUUCCUGUGAACUCCAUUCGGUUUUCCAAGCGUCAUGAAGAUUGAAGUCACAUUGUGGAAGGUUAAGUAAGCGGAUCCAGAAGGGCUUGUGCAACUUUAAGCGAUGGCGAGGGGUAUUGUUGAGGUCCUACGUUGUUGUCCUACAUUGCUGAGCGGCUACACUGAGACCAAUAAAGACAGUGAAGCAGCGGAAGCGUAGUCGGAUGCAUACCAAAUGAGUUUGAUUCAUGGCCCAAAGCUACCUAAAUCAUUCAACAGAUGCUGCUCUGGAUAUGAGCAUACAACCCAGACCUUAUAUUCACCAGCAACACCAUCGCUGGGCUAAGUAAUAAAAUGGUAUUAGACCCCAUCCCACGUUCCCAGCAUCGACCAACUGGCAUUGAGAUCAAAGCUGCAGUAACAUCUAUAACAGUGCCGCUUCGCUGACAUUUCACUCUUCAAAAAGCAAACUGGAAAGACAAACACCUGCUAAAAGACACGUACUCGCUAAGCUCCGGGUCAUGCACGUGCACCGGAGGUCAGUUUGAAUUGGCCCCAGCCUUGUGCCGGUGGUGAAGCAUCCAGCAAUGAUUCCUGCCCAGUUGCAAGAGCAGGAGACUGGGCCCAACGUCCAAAACCUUGCCCUUAAAGCUGCCUGUUUUACUUGCCUGCCUGUCACUGGCUGAAGCUGAAACCAGAGCCCAGACACUAAAAAAGAAGCUGGUCUCUUCUCUCCAAGGACAGCCUGGAGUCAGCAGAGCCGAGGCAGCCGGCAGCCCACCUCUGCAGACUGCAGCAGGACUACAUUUCCCAGCCCGGUGCGGGGGUCACACUGGGUCUGCUGGUUUGCAUGCCACAGCCUGGGAGUCUGGGUUCGCUCGGUCUCUAGUAACGAACCCUAUCAGCUAAUCAACGCAUGUCUGAAAAAAUGCCCGAGUCAUAUCAAUCAGCUUGUUACCAGCACUGAGAUAACGUCAUUGCUUCCAGCCGGCGUGAUUAAUUUUCUCCUCUUUGUUAGCAGAACGGCAUUCUUUCCGUUCGCAGACGGUUGAUGUCAUCCUUGUAGGAAAAUAAUGUAUCCUUGAGUGAGGGCUGCUUUUCAUUUCAGGGUCCGGAGGUAGGUUCUGUAACGUGCUUUUUAGCAAAACACCAAAGACAUAGAAAUCUUUGUUUCUUCCUUGUUUUUUUUUUUUCAGUGUUGUUUCAUCCUAAACAGAAUCGUGCUGGAGAACAAGAGCCAGACAGUGGAAGUGACCACACGCUGACCAAUUCGAUGGUGGAUUUGUAUGCGCAAGACCCCGCAAAAGGCAGGCUAGGGGAGAAACCAGGAGCAAUCCUGCCCCCUGAACGGGUGAAAGAACCAGACAAGGAAAAAACACUGAAGAAGAGAGCGCUGUGAGUGCCGCCACCCACUGUUAAUGGUGAGCAGGAAUUUUCUCCUGAGCUCUGUGCUUAGCUGUGUUUGCAUUUGGUCUAUUAAAAUACCCUGGUUAAAUGUG
Long non-coding RNA from Alligator mississippiensis (American alligator), 9570 nucleotides. RefSeq lists it as uncharacterized. The record is from RefSeq and is a predicted model, not a curated record. NCBI's taxonomy places the organism in Eukaryota, Metazoa, Chordata, Crocodylia, Alligatoridae. The transcript has 2 exons.